This 254-nucleotide ribosomal RNA is filed under the name uncultured bacterium. Its description in RNAcentral is "partial 16S ribosomal RNA". It matches the Rfam family "Bacterial small subunit ribosomal RNA", at positions 524 to 776 of the family's 1533-position model. The record is from RNAcentral.
UACAGAGGGGGCAAGCGUUUGUUCGGAAUUACUGGGCGUAAAGGGCGCGUAGGCGGCCUGCUAAGUCGAACGUGAAAUCCCCGGGCUCAACCCGGGAACUGCGUCCGAUACUGGCAGGCUUGAAUUCGGGAGAGGGAUGUGGAAUUCCAGGUGUAGCGGUGAAAUGCGUAGAUAUCUGGAGGAACACCGGUGGCGAAGGCGGCAUCCUGGACCGAUAUUGACGCUGAGGCGCGAAAGCGUGGGGAGCAAACAGG